UCCCUGGUGGCUCAGCCGGUAAAGCGUCUGCCUGCAGUGCAGGAGACCCGGGUUCGAUUCCUGGUUUGGGAA
This 72-nucleotide transfer RNA is filed under the name Ovis aries (sheep). It matches the Rfam family "tRNA". Rfam says of the family: Transfer RNA (tRNA) molecules are approximately 80 nucleotides in length. Their secondary structure includes four short double-helical elements and three loops (D, anti-codon, and T loops). The record is from Rfam by way of RNAcentral. Lineage: Eukaryota; Metazoa; Chordata; Mammalia; Artiodactyla; Bovidae.